AUCUGGUCCCGGCACGCCUCGCGCAGGUUGCGCAUCCAGCGCUGGAUGCCGCGGCGGUUUAGGUAGAGCACCAUGAGGAAGAUGAGGCCGAUGAGUGCCAGCACCAGCCCGAAGAACACGUAGGAGGCUUCCAGCUCCGGGCCGGCGGCCUCCGCCUCCUCUCCGCGAGCGUCGGCGCCGCUGUCCGCGCAGCGAAGCCGCGCCCCGUCCAGGUCCAGUAGCGGCCGGUCUAGCAGCGCCCGCGGGGCGGCGCAGCGCAGGCGCCGCGAGUCGGGCACGCGCUCCGUGGCGUUGCGCAGCCAGGCCAGCAGGGGGCGUGCGGCACAGCCGCAGCGCAGGGGGUUGUCGGCGAGCAGCAGGCGCGGCCCGGGGAGGCCGCCAUCGCGCUCCAGCGCGCGCAGCUCGUCGGGGUCCAGGCCGGCCAGCGCGUUGAGGCGCACGUCCAGCUGCUCCAGGCGCGCCAGGCGCAGGGCGGCUGGCGGCAGACGGCUCAGCGCGUUGCCCGCUAGGCCCAGCAGGCGAAGCUCGGCCAGCGGUGCCAGCGCAGCGUCCAGCGCGGCCAGCAGCGCGGGGCCGCCGCGCACCAGCGCGUGGUUGAGCUGCAGCGAGCGCAGCGCGGGCAGCCCGCGGAAGGCGCCGCCGCCCAGGGCGCGCAGCGGGUUGUGGCUGAGGUCGAGCGCCGCCAGGCUGGGCAGCCCGUCGAAGGCGCCGUCCUCCACCACCUCGAUGUGGUUGUGCGUGAGGCGCAGCGCGCUCAGGAGCGGCAGGCGCACGCCCGCCGCCUGGUCGCCGUCCCCGUCCCCGCCGGCGAAGGCGGCCGCGCGCAGCACCGUCAGGUUGGCGCCUACGAUGGUGAGGUUGCGCGCGUCGGGCGGCACGUCCCGCGGAGGCUGGCGGAGCUCGGCUCCCGACGCGCAGCGCAGCAGCAGCUUGGGGCCGCCGAAGCAGUAGCACUGGAAGGGGCAGGGUGCCGCGGGCUGGCUCAGCGCCGCCGCCACGAGCAGCAGCCCCUGGAGCCCCGGCUGUCCCGCGCGCGGGGCCAUCGCGGCCGCCCCCGCAUCCAGCGCCCGGGCCGCCGCGCUCACCAGUGAGUUGGGAGCGCCUGGUGGGGGGCACGGGUGGGGCGAGUCCUUGACCCGGAGCGGCUGGCAGUCCCGGUCGGUCCGUUCGCUGUCUCGAAAGUCUGAGGAGCCGCACUUACUGGCUGACUGGCCGGGGGCAAGAGGGGUCAGACGGGGAGCGGAGCCCCCCGCCCCCGGUGCCCUCGCCCUGCGCGCCGGCCUCCGGCUUCCGCGGCCGCUCCGGGCUCCGAGCCGAGUGGGCAGGGUUUGCCUCCCCCCUCCCCGCCUCCCGGUCUCGUCCUCCGCCCCCAGCGGAGUCUCCGCGCCCUCCUCGCCGUGGGAGGCGGGGUGGGAGGCUCCCGAGAAUCAGGGCUGUCGGCUGCUGCGCUUUCUCUUCAUCCUCUCCGCCCCCGCCCCUCCGGGCUGCCGAGAAGUUUGGCUCCUGGAGGCUCCGACUUGGUUUUCCUCCUCCUCCACCCCCAACAUUUAAGCUGGGUCCUUCCUCCUCCUUCUCCAGCACGUGUGGGGCGGGGCCCGACUGCGGAGAGCAGGCAGGGGCACCACCAACACUUAAGCCUCCAUCUUCAGGCAAGAAAGUCUGUGAUAUGAAUGAAGGGAUCAUAAAAGGCACAUGGAAUCAAAGCUUUUGGUCAACUGCCAACAAGGUACAGAGGCCCAACAGCAAUCAUCGAAUGAACUUGGAAGUGGAUCCUCUCACCCCAGUUGAGCCUUCUGAUGACUGCAGCCCUGGCUGAUGCUUGACUACAACUUCAUCAGAAAUCCUCAUGAAGAUCCAGCACCUUCCAGUUAGCCCAUCUAUGAGAAAACCAAUGCUCCGAUGAGUGCAGUGACUUCCCAUGCCUGUGGAGAGUCUAUGCCUUUGAUUGGAUCCCCAGAGGUGGUUUUCACUUGCCCCCCAUUGCCUAUACCAUGUUGCCUUCCUGGAGUUGGUGGCCUUUGAGCUGGGCCUGGAAGAUUGGGUAGGACUUUAUGAAGUGGGGAUGGAGAGACAAGCUGUGCGAUGGGGAUGAAGAAGAUAACCCAGGUCAGAGGGAACAGCAUAAGCAAAGAUCUUGGCUCAACCAAGAGGCGGACUCACCGUGAUGUGAAUGCAGCUUGAGCAUCCAGGACUCUCCCCAGAUCCAGGGAGGGCCUCAGCGAUGUGUUCACGUUGUCAUAUUUUUAUAAAAUUUGCAAAGGUAAGAUACUUUAACCACAAUCAAAAUUACUAUUUUCUUCCCACUCCAACUUCCCUUGUGUUUCAAUUUUCCUUUAUGUGGGAUAAUUGGAGUGGCCAUGGGCACUUCUGGGAUCUGACCAAGGGGAAGCUGAGUGGGGGACUGAUUUGAGUUGGGUUCACUGGGAUAUGUUUAUGUGGUUUUCUGAAACAGAGGAUAUAUUAAUAUUUAUGUGGUUCUCUGUGUAUAGAUAAAUCAUUGCUAGUAAUCUCUGUGUAGAGAAUAGCUUCUAGGAAUUCUACCCACUGCCCAGCUCACUUGGCAUGGUGAUAUUAAGUUGCCAUAUGCAGAGGUCAUAUCGUGAUAUGAAUGUGUGUCAUGGCACCCAGCCCAGGAAGUAUAUGGGCAGUAGACAAGAAACAGGAGAAACCAGGUUUGAAAUGUACAGAGCCAGAAGCUAGUCUGUGGAAAAUUCUUCUAAUCAUCAGGGGGAGAAAAUGUGUCUCAGAGGUUAAGCAGGGCAGUUAAUAAAAGUAUUACGCAUUUUGGGGGGAUUGUGUGAUGUAUCUGUUUUGAUUUCUUUUCUCAUUAUAGGUAAAUAUAGGUACCUUGUACCUAAUUUUAUAUUCAUAAUUUUGUAUAUUUUUCUUAAAGAGGGCUCCUCAAAUUAUAAAACCUUCAGUUCCCACAAGGUCUACACAUCCAACCUUGGCUCCAUCAUUUAUUUUCUGUGUGAUCUUGGGGAAGUCACUUGUGCUUUCUGAGCCAGUUUCCUCUUCUAUAAAAUGUGAA
RNAcentral lists this long non-coding RNA (3031 nucleotides) under Homo sapiens (human). RNAcentral's name for it is "HSALNT0178292". Lineage: Eukaryota; Metazoa; Chordata; Mammalia; Primates; Hominidae. The record is from RNAcentral.